UACGUAGGGUGCAAGCGUUGUCCGGAAUUAUUGGGCGUAAAGAGCUCGUAGGCGGUCUGUCGCGUCUGCUGUGAAAACUCAGGGCUUAACCCUGAGCUUGCAGUGGGUACGGGCAGACUAGAGUGCGGUAGGGGAGACUGGAAUUCCUGGUGUAGCGGUGAAAUGCGCAGAUAUCAGGAGGAACACCGGUGGCGAAGGCGGGUCUCUGGGCCGUAACUGACGCUGAGGAGCGACAGCGUGGGGAGCAAACAGG
This 253-nucleotide ribosomal RNA is filed under the name uncultured bacterium. RNAcentral's name for it is "partial 16S ribosomal RNA". It matches the Rfam family "Bacterial small subunit ribosomal RNA", at positions 524 to 776 of the family's 1533-position model. The record is from RNAcentral.